RNAcentral lists this long non-coding RNA (28596 nucleotides) under Erythranthe guttata (spotted monkey flower). Its description in RNAcentral is "long non-coding RNA (EGUT_LNC002051)". The record is from RNAcentral. Lineage: Eukaryota; Viridiplantae; Streptophyta; Magnoliopsida; Lamiales; Phrymaceae.
CAAACGAGGAGUUCCCUUUAUCUUGGGAAAUGCGAGUGCGUAUUGCAAGAGAAGUAGCGGGGGCGCUCUCGUACUUGCACUCUUCUGCUUCUACACCUAUUUAUCACAGGGAUAUCAAGUCGACGAAUAUAUUAUUGGAUGAUAAGUAUCGUGUCAAAGUUGCUGAUUUCGGGACAUCAAGAUCGAUCGGUAUCGAUCAGACACACUUGACAACACGAGUACUAGGAACAUUCGGUUACUUGGAUCCAGAGUACUUCCAAUCGAGCCAGUUUACGGACAAGAGCGAUGUCUAUAGCUUCGGUGUUGUUGUGGUGGAGCUUUUGACAGGGGAGAAAGCUAUAUCGUCGAUUAGGGCAGAUGUGGGAAAAAGUUUGGCGACACAUUUCCUGCACUCGAUGGAGGAGAAUCGCUUAUUCGACAUACUUGAUGCGAGGGUGCUGAAAGAGGGGAAGAGAGAGGAGAUUGUGGCUAUUGCAGAGAUUGCUAAGAGAUGUCUGAAUUUGAACGGAAAGAGAAGGCCGACUAUGAAGGAAGUUGCUGUGGAGUUGGAAGGAAUUCAAAUGAUGAAAGAAGAUUCAACAGUUUAUAACAUGCAAAAUGAAGAAGGCAACAUAGAGUACGUACCUUCAAUUCGUGAUCAGGAUGCCGAGUCUUGUGAUUUUUCGUCAAUCUCAACGAGCAUGCAUUUGGAUGAUUCGGUAACUGCAUAUUUACCAGAUGAUGAUCGUCCAUUGCUUGACGAGCCCUGAAGAAUAAAUUAGUUAUCUCUCAUCUUUUAUCCAUUAUAGGGUUCUAGUUUGUAACGUGCAACUUAAUUAUUUUUCACUAUCGUCAAACUAUCUGUUUUGUUAUAAUUUUAUUAUGUACGGGGUUGAUCAUUACCCCAAAAUUUCUAAAUUUCUCUCAAAAAUGUCGUUGUUCUCAUAUUCCUUUGUAUUUUUAAUGUUUAUAUGUUGUAGUAUUCUAAUAUUUAUACUUCAUGCAUGUUGAUCGAAAAAUAAUAUGAUUAAAGUUUAUAUUAUUGUUAAUUUAAAGUCUACAAAAAUUUAAUUAUAUCGACUAUAUUAUGUGAAUACUUCGGAAAAAAAAAAACUUCAACGGCACUUCCCUGAACCUUCGAUUUAAAAUACCCUAGGUCGUCCCAUGACUAUAUGUGUAAGUAAUUUCUGAUGACGAAUUUAUAUAAAAUGGAUUUGGAAUCAACUACAUUAGUUCGUAUACAUGAUGGGGCUAUUUUAGAUAACCCAUCAUAGACAAGGUCAUGGGCCAGUUCGAGCCGGUUCACUUUUUUCGGAACCGAAACCGGCACGUACUACACACGGUACGCCGGGUCAGGCCGGCCCGCCAGUUCACUCUGGUUCCGGGCCUAUUCUGGCCGGUUCCGUACCGGCCCAGAAAUUUAUAUAUAUAUAUAUAUAUAUAUAUAUAUAUAUAUAUGUAUAUAUAUAUAUAUAUAUAAUAUUUGAUGGAUAAAUAAAUUUAAAAAAAUUACUUUUAAAUAGGAAAAAAUGGGGUGAGAGGGUAUUUAUAGGAGGGAAUUCAAAAAAGAGCAAGUAACGGCCGGUUCAUCGGGCCAGUUCAGCUUUUUCUUAUUUUUUUUAAAAUCCGGGUGAACCGCCCGGCGUUUCACGGUUCACCUAUUUUAUAGAACCGGGCCCGUCCCGAGGUACACGGGCCGGUUCACAGUUCCGAGACCGGUUCACCGGUAAACAGGCCGGUUCCGGACAGAAAACCGGCCCAUGGCCGUGUCUAACGCCUCAUUCAAUUUUCUAAGAUUAACUCCAAUGGGACUACCAAAUGGAUUAUCAAACCCAUAAACCACCUUUUUGAUAUCCCAAAAUUAAAAUUUCUACUUCAAUGGGAGUAUCAAAAUGGGUAAGUAUUCUGAUAUUCUACCUCUUUGUAUGUAAAAAUGCAUCCCGCAAAUUGAGUUAUCAAAAAAAUAACUACCUAAACAUCCAAUCACAAAUUGACACGUGGCAAUUACAAAUAAAACCCCUAAAAAAUUUCCUAUUGAUUAUUGGAGUAGAUAAACUGUAAAUGCAUAUUAAAAUAUUGGGAUUAUUUUGGAGACCCCCUCAUUUUGAAAUUAUAUAGGACUAACUACCACGAGGAUUACACACUAGUGCAAACCCCAUUCAUUUCGAUAAUAAUUUGAUAUACCCCUCGGCCACCCUGAAGUACAUAAAAUACCAUUUUAAAUUCAGUUUUACACCUAGCCACUCCCAGUCGUCUCUCUCUCUUCCUCUCUCAAAUCUUAGAUUCAAAUCCCGCCCCCAUAGAUCUCCAACCAGCGAAGUUGCUUCCCGGAGUCAUAACUCUCUCGCCGGUGGUCGAAAUUCGAUGGUUUAACUACCUUUGAAUUCCUCUCGUCGAGCUCUUUCUUUUAGUGGUGAUUUCAUUUAGUGUGAAGCACUCUAUCUUUUUUUUCAAUUGUUUUGCAGUCCGUGCAUAUCUCGAAGAUGGUGGGUCUUGCGGGAGGUGUGGAGGUGUAAUUUGUGUUUAGGUAGUCGGAAUUUGACGGGCUACCCACCUUUAGAUUUCUCUCGUCGAGAUCUAUAUUUUGAUAGUAAUUUCGUUCAUUUUUUUUAUUGUCAGAUUUAUUUCUAUAAUAUUUUUCAUUUGUGAGCGCAGAAUCUUGGGUGGUUAGCGACAGCUAAGGUUUUGGUAGGAGGCACAUGGGGUGAGGAUUCAUUGGCGGGUUGGUCUAAAAUCCCUAGCAUUUUGCAGCUAUGGCCUCUCUCUAUCUAUCUCUCGAUCUCUUAGUGUUUGUUAAUUUGAGUGUUUUGAUAUUUUUUCAUUUUUUGUUGAUUUGCACUAAUUUUUUUUUUUUUUUUUUUUUUUGAUCUUGCUAUUGCAGCUUAAUGAAAAGUCAUUAUCCUCUUCUUGAAGGUGUGAAAAUAUUUGGUUGAAGUUACAUCUGCUUCAAGUUACAGUGUUUAACAGACUGUAUACAUUACUAUACAUUACUAGUAACAUGUAGUUACAUAUGCAUAUAUUUGUGUAUUUUCGAUUUGUAUUUUAUUGGUUUUGAGGUGAUUUAUAAUAUAAAUAUUGAAAUUUUUAAAUAUUUGUUGUUGGGAUUUAUGAAUUUCUAUUGUAAAAGCCAACAUUCGUGUGUGUAAAUAAUUGAUCGAUUAAAAAUAUGGUGUAAAAAAAAAAAACUAUGAAUGUCUAUAAUUUACUAUAGUUACAUGUAGUUACAUAUGCAUAUAUUUUUGUAUUUUCGAUUUGUAUUUUAUUGGUUAUGAGGUAAUUUAUAAUAUAAAUAUUGAAACUUGUAAUUUUUUGUUGUUGGGUUUUAUGAAUUUCUUUUGUAUAAGUCAGUAUUUGUAUGUGUACAUAAUUGAUCAACUAAAAAUAUGGGGUAAAAAACAAGAACAUAACUACGAAUGACUAUAGUUUACUACAGUUACAUAUAGUUAUUUUCAGUAUAGUAAACAUAUUGAUUUAAAAAAAAAAAACAAUUAAACAAAAUUAAUAGAAAAAUAUAUAAAUUAAACUAAGAGGUUUAUUAUAUAUAUAUAAAAUAAAUCAGCGAAAAUGAUAAAUACAGGACAAAAAAUGCUAAAUGUAUUUUGGCCGAAAAUUACAUAUUAGGGUAGUAUAGUACAUUCGCCUCUCCAGGAGGUAUGUCAAAGGAAGAAUCCGAUUUGAGUUUAUCCCUACUUUAGUACCCACUUAGGUAUGUAUAUAAAAUAAGCCCUAAAAUAUUAUCUUAAUUAUCAAAUGAGUAUUUGAUAAUCAUAUUUUGAUGUUUACUUGGAGUUUCUCUAAGAGCAACUCCAAUGGAGUUAUUAAAUGAGUUAUCAAAUCUGUUAACUACCAUUUGACUCCUAAAAUUUAAAAAUUUUGUUCUUCAAAGGGGUUAUUAAAAUGGAUUUGUAUUUUGAUAUUUCACCAUUUUGAAUCUAAAAAUACUUCCUGCAGAUUGCGUUAUCAAAACAAUAACCACCUAACCAACCAGUCGCAAAUUGACAAGUGACAAUUACAUAUAAAAUUAUCAAAAAACUUCCAAUUGAUAAUAAAAUUUGAUUACCAUGGUUGGAGUAUAUGAGUUUUAAAUGUAUUUUAAAAUAUUAUCUUAAAUAUCAAAUGAACAUUUGAUAAUUCAAUUUUGGUAUUUAGCAUUGCAGUUGCUCUAAGAGGAUAAAUCCAAUUUUUAAUCCCUUUUUUGAUAAUGCCCUCCAUAGCAUAAUACCUAAAUUACCCUUGAUGUAUUUUUUGAUUUUUAUGUUUAAUUUAUUUUCCCAAAAUAAUUCUCCUAAAUAUCCACCCUCCCCAAAAUCUCUCAAAAAUCUCAUACUAUUUCAAUUAAAAAAAAUUACGUUUUUUUUAUUAUGUUUUUAAUUUUUUUUUUAAUUUUUUUUUGAUUAAAUGGUGUUUUUUUUAUUUUAACUUUAUUUUUAUUCAGAAGUUUGUUUUUAUAAGAAAAUUAGAAAAUUUUGAUUUUCUUUAAAAGAUAUAUAUAUAUAUAUAUAUAUAUUCAUUUAAAAAAAAUGAUUUUUAAUUUUGAUUUUUUUUUAAAUUAUCUUUUUACAUUUCGAUUUAGAAAACAUAUAGUAUUUAACAAAUUGAAACGCACUAUAACAUUAUCUAAAAUCAUUAUGUAAUUAAUGUAUUCUAUUACAAAAAAAUCACUAUAAACUUAUCGAAAAUCACCAAGUAAUUAAGGUUGUCCAUUGCGAAAAUUCAGUUUAAACUUAUUGAAAAUUUCUAUUUUUUAAAUGGUGAUAUGUCCACCCCUUAAAUCUUUCUUUCUGAUAACCCCCUAGAAUUUGUAUUUCCAAUUCUACCCUUAUGUCAAUUAGCAUAACAAUAAUCUAAUUAUUCCCUUUUUUCUCAAUUAUUCCCUUUUUUCUCUCUUUCCAUAACAAUAAUCUAAUUUCUUAAAAUCUGCUUCCAAAUUCUUAUAAAUUUGCUACCAAAUCAAAAAAAAAAUGAUUUUUUUAUUUAUUUUUUAUUUUUUAUUAUUUUCGAAAUUUUAGUCAUUUUUAUUUAUUUUGUUUUUAUAUUUUUUUAAUAAAAAUAUAUAUUUUAAUUUUUUUUAAACAAAAAAUUGAAUUUUUUUUCUCGACAUAUUUACAACUCCGAAUAUGACUAUAGUUGAAUAUGACUAUAUGUUUACCAAAUUAUAGUCAUGUUUACCAAAUUAUAUAAAACAACGAAAAUUCCCUAUUGUUUACGAAAGCAAUCCAAUCAAAAUCCACACAAAAAAUAACAAUUUUGAAUCUAGUUAUUAGAAGUCAACUUGAAAACGAGAAGAUAGAACAUAUUCGAAUAUGACAACAAUCAUAUUCAACAAUAGUCAUAUUCGAAUAUGAUUACAAGUCAUAUUCAAAAAAUACAUAAAUAUGACUAUAGACAUAUUUGAACAUGACUAUAGUCAUGUGACCACUAUUGUUAAUACAUAAAUAAAGAUAGAAAAAUAACGAAAGAGAGUCAUGGGGAGUGGACGACAACGACUAUGGUGACGGUGAUGAGGAAAGAGAGUGAGAGAGGCGGGAUCAAUCUAUGGAUCUGAAGGUGAUAAAUAUGGAUAUGUAUCUGUUAUAAAGAUUCUGGCAAAGUUAAAAUGCAAAAUGAAAUCCCUAUUCCCCAGUCAGAGGAGUUGCCAGGAAGUAUAUUGAGUACCGACAACUUUGAUAGAUUUGCAUUCAAGUCUGGGGCAUUGACAAAAUGGGGUCAAAUUCUCGGAUUUGUGCCACACAUGAUUCAAUGGAGUUGGACAAACAGUUUGAUACAUGAUUAUCGUUGCAAAAUGUGGAAAACGAUGAAAGAAUGGCGGUGGAAAAUCUGGAAAAUAAAAAUAAAAAAAUGAGAAAGAUAACGAAAAAAAGAGAAAGAGUCUUACGUGGUAACGAAGGAGGAGGCGGCGGCAAUGAGCGGUGACGGUAAUGAUUGUGCACAAAUAUACGUGGAGAAGAUGGUGGUGUAAAGAGAGAGAAAUCGAAAGAAACAACGAACAAGAGAAAAUAAUAAAUCACUAAUCGAGUGAAUUAACAAUAGUCAUAUACGAACCAGAGUAGUCACGUUCAUGCUGCUUUUUCAGAUCUGGAGAGAAACAAAAAAUCGAAAAUAACGAAAGGGAGCGAGGGGGAGGCGACGGCAACGACUGUGAUGACAGAGAGAGUAGGGACGUGGCUACGGUGGCGGCGGUGGACAAAUCUGAAUCCGCCGCCACCACUUGUACGGAGGAGGGCCUCCUGCAUUAGGUUUCGGCCGAUCAGCGGUUAAAAGGUAUUUUUGACUCCGGCAGUGACGAGUGCACGAACAACGAUGGCUAUGGUCAGUGGACUACGACUGGUGUGAAAAAGAUGAAGGAGGACACCGGUACAAAUCUGCAUAAAGACGGAAAAAGAAGAAAAAAAAAAAAAAAAAAGAGGCGAGAUUGAGAGGAGGGGAGUAAAAGAGUGAAAUAAAUUAUAUCAUGUUAAAAACCUAAUCACAUAAGGGCACUUUAGUCUUAUCAUGCCUGGUUAGGGGGUUUUACUAAUUAAGAAUGAAUCUUGGGUGUAGGCAAAAGUCUCUAAUUUUCUAAUAGUCAAUUAUGUUUAGUUCAAAAUAUUUGCCAUUUGAGGGGAUAUUGCAUAUUUCCCCUUUUUAAAAUCAUUUUUUUUUCCAGCAGGUUUACUAAAUGUAUUUGUAUACUUCAAUUCUAAAAGUCUUUAAUGGAAAUUGAUCAAGUUUCCAUGAAUUAUCAUAAAUUUGAUUUGUUUGUUUUGGUGCUCAAAUAGGCUCGUGAUCCCCAAUUUGAGACCCGGAGCUAUUUGGCGGUUUGCUAAUCGCCAAAUAGAAGUUCAAAAUCGACCAAUAUUAUAAACAAAAUCAAAUAGAAUUUUGGAAAUUCGAAGACCAUAAUUGGUGCUAAAACAUCCCCAGGAUUCUCACCCUAGAGAUAUCGAUGCAUAUUUAGAACGUCCUGAACAACCCAUGAUGGGUUGUCUUUAGUCCAACGUACAAAGCCCAUCAAUUCGAGCUUCUAAACGUGAAUGUUUUUAAUAAAAUAUAUAAGUUAAAUCUUCCAAGAAAUCCAGAUAAUUAAAUUUGAAGUUCAAGAAAUCAUGGAUAUGAGAAAAUUAAGCUUGCAAGAAUGAAUCAAUGUUCCAAAAGAUAAAUCAAAUUAAUAGCAGGCUCAUUUGACAAGUCCAAUUCGAUAAAUACGAUAUUUUUGAGAAAUCCAUUUCAAUGAACCAUAUAGACAUGGCCCGACUCGCAAAAUACGAGUUAAUUCGAGAAAUACGAUCGAUUAAUAGCCAUCAUUUUGGAGAAAAUGUGAGCUACAAUGGAUAAAUAUAACCAACUCCAAAAGCUAAAUAUGCUACUAGUGAGUAGUGACGACCUCCCUUAAAGAUAUCAAACUUUGAGAAAUCUGACCUCAAUAAAUCGUAUAAGGAAAUUUAAGCAUAAAAAAAUUCAAGUUUUGUGAAAUCCAGUUUGAUUGACGAAGUAAAAACUUCUGAAACUUAAAUUAGGGGCUUAAUUGCAAUUUCCCCAAACAAAAUUGCACCCAAUUAGUUUCUUCCUCAGCAAAACCAAUCCUUCGUCACCACCUGCACACCUUACUGUAAGUCUGUAACCAGCCACCACUUUCGCCGCCAACACCACGAGGAAGACGAUCAGACAAUGCCCACGGCGCCGCGAAAUCAUUUCAAAUAUUAUAGAAAUUAUAAUAAAAAAAAAAUGUUUUCCAAUUUCAAUUUUUUUUAUUUAAUUUGAUUGAACUUUUUUGUCAACUAAACAAUAAAAAGACGUUGUUCACUACUAGAAAAAUAACUUUUAAUGACACCUUAAUGAUGCAAUGAUAUGACGCUUUAACAAAAGCGUCACCACAACUAAUCUAUUUUGACGUCGUGAGUUAAAUCCGCAUUACUAGUUGAAUAUUUUAUUUUGCACUUAUUUUAUUAAUUCUUAAAAAAUAACAAAUAUGACGCUUUUAUAUUUAAUGUCACAAUAGACUCGUUAUGUUGUGGCAUUCUUUAUCAACCGUCAUGAUAUGUUCUGUUAAUGGUCAUUAAUAUACUAAAAUAUUUAGCGGCCAAAUAAAUCCACUAUAUUUAUUAAUUUAUUAAGAAAAAUCAUCUUCUCCACAUCGAGAUCUUAGGCAUUCGGCUGUAGAAAUCUUAAACACCCAUUUUCCCCUAUAUCGGCCCCUCUUCUCUUCUCAAUACCUAGAUUCGCCCUCAAAUUUUUUCCUCUGCCGCGGAAUUGAUUCUUGACGAAGUAUAUCCUAUGAAUCUCAGAAACGGUAAACCUAAAUUUUCAGAUUAGGAUUUUCUUUUUUCUUGAUAAAAGAGUUGGAUAUGGAUUUUUGGUGAAUCGUCAAAUUGACGCUUGUUCCCUUUUACCCAUAGUUAGGCACACGCAAUGGAGAAUUUCGAUUUCGAUUCGGUGGAAAGAAGAUAGAUUAAUGCUGGUAAAAUCUCCCUCUUUCCCUCUCUCGCUCUCUCUUCUUGGCCUUCUUUAUGUUUUUCCAAAAGAUAGAAUAGAUUGGAAUAGUCGUAUUGAAAUCCAAGAAUUUAUCGGGGUGCGAGUGCAAUCCAAGAAUAUAUUAGCUUUCCCGUUAGGAAAUAAUUCUGAGGAUUUGAUGCAUGCUUAACAUUUAAGGUUGGUUUUUCUCUAAUGCUAUAUCAAAUUUCGAGGGUUUGAUUUGUAUUUAUGUGAAGAGAAUUUUUAUUUAUUAUUAUUUAUUGCUAUAUGGAAUUUUACCAUGGCAGAAAGAUAGUAAAUGAGUGUUGUGUAUGUAUAUUUAUAGCUAAUAGGUGAAUGUGCUUGGUGUAUUUUUAUUAACUAAAGAAGAUGUGGAUUUGGACUACUUGAAAUGUGUUCCUAUGCUUAGCUUUAUCACUUUUUUCUUUCAAAACAAUGUGUUAUAAAGUUAUAUGUAUAACUUCUGAUGAUUUGAUUGUAUAUGAUAGGUUUCUUAAGGCAAAAGAGACAUGAAUAAUUUGAUAUGCAUUUGGAAAUGCUGCGAAUCUUGGGCCUGCUUGCUGAAGUCGUAAACUAAUUUCUCAAGGAGACUGUAAUUCACAUACAUAUAUAUAAAUAUAUAUAAUAUCUAAAAAUUGUUUCUCUUGUGUAUGUUCUCCUUGUUGGGUUAUCAACAACUUUUUAUUGUAACUUACACUACUUUUAGAUCGAAGCAAAGUUUGGUUCUUUUAUUGUUAUAAUGAUAAUUUCAGGUUGAAACAAGGUUUGGUUCCUUUACUCGAACACGGAAAUCGUGACUGAAUCUGUGAAAGAUGGCGUUGAUUGCUCCAAGAAUCUACAAAGCCAAGCUCUACAGGUAACAUUUUAUAGAUUUUAUAAUUGCCAUUUUUAUGUGUUUUUAAUCGAUGAUUUUGUAAUGAGGUCCUGUUAUGCAGCCUUAGUCCGUACAUUAUCUAAGUUCAAUAUAUGUGCUUUCAAUCUAAGGUUCUAAUAUUUUUUUUGCAAUGUGCAAUCAUUUUAUAUUUUAAUUUCUGCAGUAACGGGAAGGAAGGGAGUGACUUGUAAGACAGUAAGACUAUAUGCUCUAGAAUAUGUCAGAUAUUUUUUUUUCAAUCUUUCAGUCGCUUCAUAACUUCAUUAUACUCGUUACAUUACUCUCAUUAAUCCCAUUUAUCUCGACUAGGACAUCAAAAAAGUUCAUCAAAAGGCUGCAAAGUUCUUCUGAAGUGGGAGAUGGAGGGAUGUCGCAGUACAAGUAACAUGACAAUCCGUUGAAAAUCAGCCAGUCGAAUCAGAUGUAACGGUUUCAUUACACUAUUAGUAGGAAGGUUUCUUAUUUUAUAUUUUUAAUUAGAUUAGAUGUGGAAUAAUUUUUAUUUAAAUAGUUGGGUUAUUUUGAACCAUUGAAAUAAUUAAACUUCAACACAGAACACAUUUUGGUGUAUAUGUCUGUAAAUGAUUUUUUUUUGUUCGUUGAUAUUUAAUUUUUUAUGUUUAUGAUGAGCAACAGUUUAAUGUAUAUUAGAUUGAUGUAAAAACAAGUGUGAAUUAUCACAUAAUUAUGUUAUUGGGACGUGUAACAAACAGAAUUGAGAGCUUAAUAUUGUCAUUAUAUAUCUAUAUUGUGACGCUACAAAGUGUCAUAAAAAUAGGUAGUUAUAGCAGUUCCAAAUUAAUUACAUGACGCAUACAAGCGUCACAAAAAAUGUGUUAUCAGGACGCGUCAAGGCGUCGCAUAGUGUGGCUGUUGAGACGCUGCUUCUGUCACCAAAAGAUAUUAUGACGGCCACCUAUGUGACGCUUUUGUUAGGCGUCACAACAACCAAAGCGUCACAAGACGUCGAUAUAGUGACAUUUUGAGGCGUCAUAAUAACCAGUUUUUGUAGUAGUGGUUUUUGCCAUUUUAUUUGUUUAAUUUUUUAAAGAGAGCAUAAUUUUGAGCAAAAAAACCUAAUUUUCACUCCGGUUCCAAUAUUACGGUCCAACCGGUCAAACCUGACCGAACAAAGCAAUAGUUCGUGGUUUAUUCGGUUGAACCGGCCGGUCCAAAAAUGAUAUUUUUUGACCAAAAGGCUUGUCAAAAGAAAAAUAGAGAGAUAUUUUUCGCAACAAAAUAGUUCAUAAAAUUCUUUUUGCUCCAAAAAUGAUUAGAAGGUUGUCAAACAUAAUACAUUGUCUUUUUUUUUUUUUUUUUAUUCUCCCAACUUUACCACUAGUUUGAAAUAUAUAAUUAGAUAAUGAAGAAAAAAAGAAAGCAAUGAAGUGGGGAAAAAAACACUAGGCGUGAAGUAUUUGUAAUCCACUAAAUUUUAUACUAUCUAAGGUGCAACUAACCACUAAUAAAUAAACAGUCUUCCAUGAUAACUAUAGGGGUAAAAUUGGAUUGUUUGGAUAAAUAUUUUUGGUAUCUAAUAUAUUCUUAUUGAUGUCAUCACCCAACAUAGUGAGAUUUAGAGCCUCUUUGGCUAAGCUUACAAGCUCCUAAAAACAUCUUAUAAGAUGUUUAGGAGCUUAUAAGUUGUUAAAAGGUGUUUGGUAAAAAAAUUGCAAAAGAUCUUAUUUUUUCUAAAAAUAAGCUGUUAGGGAGCUUAUAAAAUGUUUUUAAAAAAGUACCUAUACCCCACCUUUUUUCUUUAAGAUCUUAUUUGCUUCUUUACUAAAACACUUAAAAUACAAAAUUACCCUCAAAUACUUUAUUAUGUUACAUGAAUAUUAAUAAUAUUUAUAUUUUAACACAACAACGUAUUCUUGUAAUCAAGAUUAAUAAUUAGUUAAAUAUAACUAUCGUAAUUAUCAUAAUAAUUGUAAAAGAAAUUAUUCUCCAUUUAUAUUUUAUAUGUAUAUAAAAAUACACGAAUAUUCUUAUUAUCUCCAUAUUAAAUUAUAUUUCUUUCAUCUAUAAAAAAAAUUAUAUUUCUUUUACAACUUUUAUUUUAUAUUAUUAUAUAAUUUUAUAUUAUUAUUAUUAUUUGAAAAAAUAAUUUGUAAAUAUUAUAAUAAUAUUUUAGGAACAAAAGUAUUUGAGGUUUAAUAAUUAUACUGGCGUCAUGUACUUUUUUGUCAUUAUAGCAAUAAACCGACCUUUUAUUUCCAAACACCUGAACAACUUAUAAAAACAAAAAGUAACUUAUAAGCUACAUAUCCAAACACCUUAAAAAAUAAUUUUUUAAGAUAAGAUUUAACAGCUUAUCAGCUCCUAAAACAUCUUAUCAGAUGUAUGAGCUUAUAAGAUGUUUUAAAUAAGCUUAGCCAAACGGGCUCUUACUUUGACUCGCGAUAUAAGAAUCGCUCGCAUUGCAAUAUCAAAGUAGAGUACACUAGUUAAAUGUGUACUUUAAAUAUAUAAAGAUUGAGGGAGUAAUUAAUUUACUAAUAAUGCUAAAUAAUGUAGUUUUAUUAUGAGCAACAAUGAAACGAUUAUUUUAUUUUGUCCUGUUCAAAACAUGCCGAAUGUGCUAGCCCGACAAAUCAAAACAAUAACUCUCAAGAAAUUCUUUGUUUUAUCAAUAUAGAUCACUUAAAUAUUGUCUUACAAUCUUUAUUCCAAUAAUUAUUCAAAUUUCAUCUAAAUUGUGAACUAUAAACUUUAUAUUAUAAACAAACUUUCGUUAUCUAUAUCCUACUCAACUUCAUCUCGAAUAUUAUUAAAAUAUAAGAUUCAUGCAAUUAAUCAAAUAAAUGCAUCAAAUGCCAAAAUACAUAUUCUCAUAAAAUGAUAAUAUACUGCUUUAUUAGCAAGUUAUUAGUGGUUCCAUUAGCUUGUUGACGACUAAUUAUUUGGAAUUAGAGUUUUGCAUUCAUACUUAUAGAAAAAAACUAAUAUCUUGCGUCAAUACCCAUUUAAAUCAGAGAAUUUUUGUUAAUGCAAAUAAGUCAUUUACUUGUGUUAUGUUAUUUUAAGUUAAUAUCUUCAGGAUGCUCUUUAUCUUUUAGGCCCUCAUUUUGAAUACUGACUUAGGCUACGUUUGACAAAAUUAAGCCCUAGACGCUGAAUGUUAAAUACAUAACUGAAUGGUUAAGAUGCUACAUGUUGAUGUUUAAGCUUGUUUGAUAACUGAAAAACUACUGUAUUUGAAUAAUGUAAUUUUCUUAUAUUGGCCCCAUAAUUGUUGAAAUGAAUGAGUUUAUUUAUUUAAGUCCACCAACGUACACAUAUGACAUAUAUAUUAAUAACUUUCACGCAAUCGUAAAUUCCAUAGAUAACUCAGUGAUAUCAUUUAUCAAAGUAAUUUAUUAUUUAGUCCUACCAAUGUAUACAUAUCAGUAUAUAAAUGUUUAACUCAGUCAUGAAAUUCCACAAUAACUGAGUCAUACCAUUUAUUUAUAAAGUAAACCAGCCCUUAAUGGUUUUAUUUUAUCUUGUAAAACUGCAAAUUCAAUUAGUAUAUAAUUCAAAUGACCGAGACAAUCCUUUUCUCUAAACUUAAAAAAAUAGAUGUGACUUUUUCUAGGUGGUUUGUUCAUUUAUUUUUUUUCUUCAAUUGAUCGUGUUAAGUAACUCCAUUUGAGAUAGAAAGGACACAAGCUAUUAUUUGAAGUACCUCUAAAAUUGCAUAUUCUCUCUCGUAUAUGAUUUUCCAGAUUAACUUGAAGCUCAAUCAUCCCGAGUCGGAAUGUCUUCGUCUGCAGUUCUGAUUAUUACUCAUCCGUUGAAUUAACUACGAUAAAGGUAAGUAGCGAACAUUCUUUGCCGCUAUAUUAAAAUUAAAUUAUUACAAUAGCCUAGUAGUACUUGAACGGUUUUGUUUUAUGCUAUAUCCUGUGAACUUCACGUGUAUAAAUCCUAGACAAUUUACACACAUUUCUAUUGUUUUUUGUGAACCUUUUAUAACACUUGCCACUAAAGAGUCAUCUAUCAAUCAUAUAUAGGCGUUCUUGAUAGACCUUAGAUUGCAAAUCACACGAGAUAUGUAAAGCAACACUUUGCAUAAUAGAAUUCCAGCUCGUAUUAUUUGAUUACGCUCUCUUACUCCACUAAUUAGGCCACUCUUACGAGAAAACUAUGAAAACACUUAAUUUGUCGUAAGAUUGUUACGGCAAAUUAAAUUUUCCAAUCCGCCACUAGUUUGGGUGAAUGUUUUCUUAAUGUACAUUCACCACAAUAAAAAAAAGCAAAAGAAAAAGAAUACAAUUAAUGGAGAAUAUGGAACUCGCUACUUGCAGGUAGGGAGCAUCAUUAAUUUUCCAAUAUCGUAACACUAGUACGGGAGUGAACAAUGAAUCAAGAUGUUUUAAAGACAUCAAGAUAAAUAUGUUCAUUAACGAUGAGACGCGGGAACAACCACUACAAUCUUUGUUACAACAAAUAAUUAUGAAAGUAAAAAUUACUGUCACUUUGGGUUUUUAUUAGCAAUGGAACUUCUAGAGAGAAAAAAUACAAUGACGAAGUGUUGGAGGUGGCAAUAUGCGAAGGUGGAAGUAGCCCAGGGGAAGGAGACUUAAUUUUGUUUCUUGGUUUAUCAUAAUUAGUAUUGAUGUUGUAUCCCUAGCUAUCUUGGAAUAAAUGUGGAAUGCCAAGCGUCGGUUCACUGUAUACAAGCUAGCAGACAAGGUGCGUGCAGAGGCUUUGGCUNNNNNNNNNNNNNNNNNNNNNNNNNNNNNNNNNNNNNNNNNNNNNNNNNNNNNNNNNNNNNNNNNNNNNNNNNNNNNNNNNNNNNNNNNNNNNNNNNNNNNNNNNNNNNNNNNNNNNNNNNNNNNNNNNNNNNNNNNNNNNNNNNNNNNNNNNNNNNNNNNNNNNNNNNNNNNNNNNNNNNNNNNNNNNNNNNNNNNNNNNNNNNNNNNNNNNNNNNNNNNNNNNNNNNNNNNNNNNNNNNNNNNNNNNNNNNNNNNNNNNNNNNNNNNNNNNNNNNNNNNNNNNNNNNNNNNNNNNNNNNNNNNNNNNNNNNNNNNNNNNNNNNNNNNNNNNNNNNNNNNNNNNNNNNNNNNNNNNNNNNNNNNNNNNNNNNNNNNNNNNNNNNNNNNNNNNNNNNNNNNNNNNNNNNNNNNNNNNNNNNNNNNNNNNNNNNNNNNNNNNNNNNNNNNNNNNNNNNNNNNNNNNNNNNNNNNNNNNNNNNNNNNNNNNNNNNNNNNNNNNNNNNNNNNNNNNNNNNNNNAAUUGAAUUAGUAGAUCCGUUAGAGAAUAUUCUAUGGUGGAUUAGGACCUUAAUAGGGUUAUUUCUUAGUAUAUAUGGGUUGAAUGAGCAGCCGAAUAUUGAUUAAUAAUUAAUGAGUCAAUCAGAUAGGCCCGAAUUGGUAUAUCAUUAAGCCCCAUUCCCCACUCUUGACUGAGUCUCAAGUAGUGAGAGUCGUUCAAGAAUAAAUAUUUUUGUUGACCUUAAGAAUAUUUUGUCGAAUGUAUGGCAAAAUGGAGAUUAUCGUGCCCUUUUUAGGAUUUUAAAAAUCCUAAGGGACUCUUUUAGCUUUUCAAUUUUUUGAAGAUCUUACUUGCAAUGUUUAGUAAUUGUCGAGGACACACAUUCGGUGAAACCUCCUAUGCCUUGUUGACAAGUCUUAGUGGGUUUUCGGAUUAGGAUUUUUGUAUCUCGCACAGUGGUAGGGUUAGGGAAAGGCACGGAGUUUGGAGACAUCGAGCUCGGGGUCGAACACUAAGGUGAGGGUGCUGACGGAUGGGCGCAUAAAUAACGUUAUGGGCUCCAUGGGGAUGAAUUUCCGACCCUUGGUCGUCGAGUCAAGGGUUUUAGAGGUUGGAUUUUUGGGUUGAUGAGAGAAGGUGUCUCGGCUACUUAGCCCUACGUGUCAUGGACUUCCAAUCAACAUUUCGUGACGAUGCAACGAAGAUGAAGUAGUGGCAUCCAAAACACCGGAGUUGCAGCAAUAAAUCCGAGAAUAAUCUUACACUCUCAAAACCUCCAAUCUUUUAUUUAAUAUCCCGAAUUAAUAACUUUUCUAUAAGGGUAAGCUUGUACUUUAAGGUCACGUUUGUUUAUGUUUUCAAAUCAAUUUCCAGCUUUUAUACUAAACAUAAAACCGGGAUCGUGUUUGUUUAAGAUUCUUCACUUGGAUAUACCUAUUAUUAUUAUUAUUAUUAUUAUUAUUAUUAUUAUUAUUAUUAUUAUUAUUAUUAUUAUUAUAAUUUUGUAGCAUUUUAUCGUGAGACUACGAAAAAUAACAGAUAUUUGAAUCUUCUUAUGCCAUGUUACGCAUAUGCACCCGUAAUACCUAGCAUACAUAUAAUUUAAUGUGCUCAUCACGAGUACUUUAAUCUCCAAUCUUUCUCUGCAGAUUGAUUGUUUUUUUCCAAGAAAUUAAAUGAUGAGGAUACCAUUUAUACUAGGAGUGAUUUCAUCACUAUGUCUGAGCACAACAUUGGUGGUAGCAGUAGAUUGGUCCAAGCCUGGUUGUCCAUCAAAGUGUGGAAAUAUCACAAUUCCAUAUCCUUUUGGCAUUGGUUCUCAUUGCAGUUUCAAUUCUUCCUUCGAAAUCACCUGCACGAAAGACUCCACCACCGGAGUAGAAGUACCAUUCUUGAACAUCAUAAGUAUGGAAGUACACAAUUGUUCUGUUCGCGGUACCGUCAUAGUAAAGAACCCCGUUACACCAAUGAUAUGCUCUGAUAUGCAAGACACACAAUCUAUGGUAAGGUCGCUCGAUAAAACUCCAUUUUCCAUCUCCAGCCGACAUAAUUUGUUGGUUGUUUUGGGCUGUCGGAAUUCGGUCCGCCUGUAUCCUAACGCGACAGCUCCAGGCGGCGGAUGCAUGGCAAUUUGUGAUCAUAGUUCUAUAGACAACAGCUGCAAUGGUGUCAACUGCUGCCGAAUAACAAUACCACCUCAACUUAAGGGGCUUAAUUAUACUUACCAAGGUACUAAUCAAGUUGCUACUAAUGAGAGUUCAUGUGGUUAUGCUUUCCCUGUCGAAAGAGUAUGGUUCCAAGAUGAAUACAAAAGGUACAAGGGCCUUCAGAAUAAUCUAUUAAAUCCUUUUGACAAAGAAUUCGAAUCCGCACCACUGGUACUUGAGUGGGAACUCGACAGAUCAACAUUUUCAGAUCCUAAUGUAUGUCCGAAUUACAUAAAAAUAAUCUCACCAAAUACAUCAUCACUUCCUAGUCAACCCGAGUAUGCAUCUUCCAUCCAAUAUUGCUAUUGCGGGAGUGGCCAUGAAGGGAACCCAUAUAUACCUGGAGGAUGCAUUGAUAUUGAUGAAUGUAGCGAUCCAAAAUUGAAUUUCUGCAAAAAUAUAAAUGCAACUUGCAAAAACAGCAAAGGAGGUUACCAGUGUGAAACUAUAAAGUAUAAGGUUAAAAAACCACAGGUGGCCAAAAUAACAGUCAUCAGCGGUGGUACUGUCCUUGGUGCACUAAUUUUGUUCAUAGCGGCAUGGAAGUCCAUCAGGAAAAAAAACAAGGCUAACCGUAAACUCAAGUUCUUCAAACAAAACGGAGGUUUGUUAUUGCAACAAAAGUUAUCUUCAAACAACAACAGCCUAGAAAAGACCAACCUAUUCAGUUCCAAAGAGUUGGCACAAGCUACCGAUCGUUACAAUGAAAAUCGUGUAUUGGGUCGUGGUGGCCAAGGUACCGUCUACAAAGGAAUGUUGACAGAUGGAAGAAUCGUGGCAGUCAAAAAGUCGAUGAAGGUAGAAGAAGGUGAUGUCGAACUGUUCAUCAACGAGGUUGUUAUUCUGUCGCAGAUAAACCACAGAAAUGUGGUCAAACUAUUAGGGUGUUGUUUGGAGACCGAAGUUCCUCUUUUAGUAUACGAGUUCAUACCUAACGGCACACUCUUCCAACACGUGCACAAUCCAAACGAGGAGUUCCCGUUAUCGUGGGAAAUGAGAGUCCGUAUUGCAAGGGAAGUAGCCGGGGCACUCUCUUACUUGCACUCUUCUGCAUCUGCACCAAUUUAUCACAGGGAUAUAAAGUCCACGAAUAUACUAUUGGAUGAAAAGUACAGGGCCAAAGUUGCUGAUUUCGGGACAUCAAGAUCGAUUGGUAUAGAUCAGACGCACUUGACCACACGAGUACUAGGAACGCUCGGUUAUUUGGACCCGGAAUACUUCCAAUCGAGCCAGUUUACGGAUAAGAGCGAUGUGUAUAGCUUCGGUGUUGUUGUGGUGGAGCUUUUGACGGGGGAGAGAGCUAUAUCGUCAAUUAGAGCCGAUGUGGGAAGGAGUUUGGCGACACAUUUCUUGCACUCGAUGGAGGAGAAUCUUUUAUUCGAAAUUCUCGAUGCGAGGGUGCUGAAAGAGGGGAAGAGAGAGGAAAUUGUGGCGAUUGCCGAACUUGCUAAGAGAUGUCUGAAUUUGAAUGGAAAGAGAAGGCCGACUAUGAGGGAAGUUGCUAUGGAGUUGGAAGGAAUUCAAAUGGUGAAAGAAGUUUACUUACGAAAGGAAGGCAUCAUUAAUGAAUAUGCACCUUCCAUUGAUGAUCAUGAUGUUGCUGAGUCUUACGACUUCUCUUCAAUCUCAGGAAUUAUGCAUUUGGAUGAUUCAAUAACUGCAUAUUUACCGGAAGAUGGUCGUCCUUUGCUUGAUGAUCCUUGAUUACCAAUUAUCUUUCAUCUUUUAUCCAUUUUCCAGUUCCUAGCUAUUAAUUUGUAAUAUAUGCGCAUCAAACUUAUUUACAUUUCGUUUAUCGUCAAAUACUUGUAGUUCUAAAGUAUGAUUUUAAUGAUUUAAUAGUGUUCUGUUUGUACGUUGAUCAUGAGGCCAAAUAAAGACUUUUUGUAAAUUGUUAUGUUAUAUAUUAUGGGAUAUGUGUGGGAUUGUAAUUGUAUGUUAGUUUCUACCAUGUUAUGGAAUAUUCAUGGUUUAUACUUUACAGGGCACGUAGAUAUGAAUUAAGAAUGAGUGUAUGCCCCGGUGUUUUUGCUCGAUUAUCGUAGGGCGUACUUCAAAUCACAAGAAAUGCAAGACAAAUAUGUUGAGGUAGUUCCAAGCAAGGUAUUGCUCAAUCUUUAGUAGUUCGCUAUAGACCUCUCACGACAUUUGCAGCACAAUCCAUUGCUUUGGCCCCCAAUCCUAAGGGCCCUCAAAUUAAAAAAAGAAAAAAAAAAAAAUAAAUAAAAAAAAAUAAAUAAAUAAAUAAAUAAAUAGAUAAAUAAAAUCCUUCUGAAUGCCCAACACAUGAAAUUAAAAUGGAGGCAUAAUCAAACUAAUUAAAAGGGGCUAUAUGUCAAACACCCUUCAUUGCGAUUUUAAUUCUAAAUAAAUCCUAUAUUUAUAAAUGAGAUUUGAGAUUAAUCCAAUGGGCCUGAAAAACCAUAUGCCCUUACUAACUAUUAAUUAGUAUAAUUAUUUAAUUUAAAAAACAUUAUACGCAUAAUCUACACCAAAAUCUUCUCAAAAAAUUAUUCCCGUUAUCACGCCAAUUCAGUUUUUUUUUUCCUUUUCUUUUUUAUUUUGUUUAAUGAUUUUCUUUAUUUUGAUUUAAAAGAAAAUUUUGUAAUUAUUUUUUUCCGGUUCUUUAUUUUAAAUUAUUAUUUUUUUCUUAUUUAUAUUUUUCAUGUUUUUUAUUUUAACUUAAAAAAUGGUUUUAUUUUUAUUUUCGUUUUUUCAUGGUUUUUCUUUUUUCUUAAUUUCAAUUUGUUUUUAAAAUGGUUUUUUUUUUCUUUCUAGUUUUUUUAAAUAAAAACCACUCUAUAUAAACAUGAAAACCACUAUGUAUAACACAACUAUAUAAACAUGAAAACCACUCUGUAUAAUAACUAUAUAACAUGAAAACCACUAAAUUUAUCAAAAACCACUAUGAAAUUAAAGUACAAAUUAAUAUAAAAUAAGCAUAAAUUUAUCGAAAACCACUAUGGAAUUGAAGUAAAAUUUACUAUAAAAUAAACAUAAUCCACAUUAAAAUUAACGUAAUCCCCUAUUAAAUUAGUGUAAUCCACUGUUACAUAAGUGUAAUCUAGUAUAUGUUCAUCCAAAACCACCAUUAAUAAAUGUUCAUCCAAAACCACUAUUAACAAAUUUAUACAAACAAAUUCGGCAUCACUUCGGUUGCUCAAGAACCUGAAACAAAAAGAAAAAAAAAAGGUAACAAAUUGUUAGUCUAAUUAGUGUAAUCCAUUCACACUCUCAAACCAUAACAAAACGUAAUCCACUAUUUCAAAUAACCUUUGUGGGCCAACCCUAUGAAUUCUCAAGAAACUCAAGAAUAUAAGAAAAAAAAAAAAAAUACACAAGCCAAAAUGGCUGCCACACCCUCUUUGCGCCGCGGCGCAAGGCCAACCCCUUAAGCAGGAAAAAAGCAGAGUGAUCCUACACAACUAAUUAACACUGACUAAUUAAAUAUUCUUAAUCAUCAAGAUUAAAAAUUAGAUCGGUGCUUAAGUAAAACAGUUAAAACAUUAUGAAUACUCAAUAAACAAUCUUCUAUCUGUAACAUUUAUCACUCAAAUUAAAAAUUAAUUAAAAAUCGUCUAGUUUCCCAAAAUCUUCAUUAACCAAACGAUUCGAAACUCACCUGAUGGAUGAUUACACAAAUCAAUGAGCACGCAAUUGGCCAACGAUUUCAUUUGCAGCAAUUCAAACCAUGUCGAUAAUCCGGGUCUGACCUGGACCGUCGGGUCGGAUCGACGUGAAAUUCGAAAAGUAGAGCAUCACAAUGAGAAAUCGACCUGGCCCGUCUCGGCCCGGAAGCUCGCCGCCACUCUCUCGGAGAAUUCGAAAAAUAGAGCAUCACAAUUAUUAUAUUUUAUUUGCUGUGCUAUGUGGCAUAGCGCAACUCAAAGAAAAAGAGAAUGAAAGGUUUUUCACUUGUAAAUCAUCAUAAUAAGCGGUAAAAAAAAGUUAAAUGAAGCUAAAUAAUUUGAAUCAAUAAAAAGACAUUUUCUCAAUAUUUUCUUGGGGUCCCAAAAUUCUCAGGACCGGCCCUGGACCCUCUGUAUAAUCCUCCUGGUAUAUUAAUUGUAUGCAAUAGUUUGCUAGGUUAUGUUUUUGCAUAUUUUUUUACUUUGUGUAAGCAGCUGUUUACACCUUUGAUGCGUGUAAAUACGAUAAGUAACGCAUGUACAAAUCUUGCGUUCGUAUCGUUACGUGUUAGGUUCGGUAAUACCUAAGACUAUGGUUUAGUUUUAUACAGUACCAAUUAGAAGGUUGUAUCAUUUAAUUCCCUAAUUAAAUUUCGUCCUUCUUACUACUAAUAUUCUUAUGGCUUAUUGCAAAUCUUUGGUCAACAUUUUCAUGGCCUGACAUUUUUAAUGCAACUUGAAUCCCUGGCAUCAAAAUGUUUUGUGAGAAAAUAAUCAUCAUUAUUUUAACUUAUAAUCUUAAGGCGGAUUAAAUACAAUUGAUUUUUGACUCUGAUUCAAAUAAAAUCUUAGAAAUUACAAAACAUGCAAGUUGUAGAUCUUUUCGGGCACUAUGACAUAACUUUAUCCGAACUAAAUAUUUUUUUGCCCCUGGUGGUAAUUAAGCAAUAAAUUUAUUUCUCUUGGAAUUUUCUGAAAUUGGAAGUCUUUGGGACCUUUUCAGUUGACUUGGAAGUCUCUCUCGAUGCCUUUGUUUUUUACGAAUAUUAGUUGUUGAAAAGUAAAAUGCCCAUUUUAGUCAAGAUGGAAGUAGGAUGGAAGCUUACCUCCUGAAAGCAACUCAAAUUAAAUAUUGCAUUAUUGCGUAUAUAUUAUACAUAGUAAAUUUCAAAAAGUACCUCUGUGUAAUUACUAAAUAGCAAAAAACACCUCGUAAUAAAUGAACUAGCAAAAAUCCCCAUAUGAAAUUGAUUAAAUAGAACACUUGGCCCAUUUUUUUUUUUAAUUUGUGUGUUGACUUGAUAUAAAAAGGCACAAAUACUCUUGAGAUUUUGCAAUUAAUAAAUUCUUAUAUUUUAUAAAUACUUUUAUUAUUUUAUUUUUGUUAUAUCUUAAUUAGUAAAGUACAAUGGGGUUUUUUAUUUCUAUUUCUAUUAUCAGAUAAUUUCUGUAUAUUCUUUUUAAUUUGACUGUUUAGAAAUUAACAUAUUAUUAAAAAAUUAGCAAACAAUUAAAUUGAAAAAUUAUUAAAAAUUUGGUAAUCAAAUUAAGUGUAUGUUUUUUUAAAUACAUUUUGAUGGACAAUUUCACCAUUUCACGUCCAAAAAUCAGCUAUUAACCGCACAUCCAGCGAGUGAGCCACACGAAGGUCAACCAGGAGGGUUUCUGCCUUUGACUAAAUUUCACAGGGGAGAUUUUGCUAAUUUAUUUAUCACAUGGGUUUUUUUGCUAUUUAGUGAUUACAUAGGGGUACUGUUUGCAAUUGACUCUAUAUAUAUUAUAUCUCAAACCAUGCAUUUUUAUACCGAAUUCCAACUUGAGAAGCUAAUUAAGUUCAAUCUUCCUCACUCAGAAAAGUCCUCAAUUACAUCCAGAAUAUCAGGCAACUUAUUCUUCUUAAAUUAAUUUGCCAAUACCAAUUCAGUAAUAUUAUAUACUGCAGAAUUAUAUAUCUCUCAAACCAAUUUGCCAGAGAUUCUAUAGCUUGAGGCUCAACCAUCCCCGACUCUCAAAAGGUAAGUGACUAAUUACAACUUUUUAUGUACUUUCCUUCCUAUACUGAAUAUUAUACUCAUUUUGAUAAGCCUCUAUUUUUAUUUUUUUUAUUAAUUUUUUUUUUUUUUUGGUGUUUUGGAGAAAUGGGAGUUUAUGAAAGAAGAUAAAGGCAUUUUUUAGAGUAAAUUACCAAAAAUUCCCUAAAUUAAAGUUUGAGUACCAAAAAACCUCUAAUAUAUUCAUAAUUACUAAACGCCCCUUUAACUACCGAUUGCCCAAAUUUCUGAACAGAAAAUGUAUAAUUUCUAGGGGGCAGCUAAAAUUAAUAUCCAAUAUUUUUUCACUUCAUUAGCACCAAAAUAAAAAUUAGAUAAUAAAUUGAAAAUCAAUACCACAAAAACAUUAAAAAUCUCAUUUUUCUUUCUUAAAUACCAGACACACAAAACCCCUCAACUUCUUCACAAACCCCUCAACCUCCUCUUUCUUCCUCACAACAAACUCUCCAAAAAAAUCUUAGAACUAAAGAAAUCAAAAGCUCACACAACUCCCAAAAUGGAGUCAAAUGACAACAAAAUGGUAGUUUACGACCAAGGAGAACCCAUUAAGGUAUGUAUCCAUAUCUUUUUUUGAGCUUGUAAGUCGAUUUUGAAGUUCUUUGUUUUUUAACCACGUCGAUAGUUUUUCGACACAUACAGAUCAAAAUUUAGUCAAUUUUCGACCCCAAUUUGUCGAAAAAUAUUUAAACAAAAAAAAAAACAAAAUAAAGUGAAUUUCAACACAUAUAUGUCGAAAAACCACUGCUGCUUAAAGAAAAAUUGCAGCAGUGAUUUUUCAACACAUACACUUAGAAAUUUUGACAUGUAUGCGUCGAAAUUCACUUUUUUUUUACUAUUUUUCGACAAGUUUGUGUCGGUAAUUGACUAAAAUUCAACUUCUAUAUGUCGAAAAAUGUCAACGGUGUUAAAAAAAAACUUUAAAAUUGACUUUCAAGCUCAAAAAAGACAUGGAUACAUACUAUAAUGAAUUUUCCUUCCAUGUAAAUUACCAUUUUGUUGUCUUGUGACUCUAUUUAAUAGGCUCUGUGAGGUUUUGAUUUUUUUUGAAUUUUGAGAUUUUCUGGAGGGUGUGUAAGAAGAUGAAGAAGAAUAGAGGGUUUAACGGGUUUGGGUAUGGAGAGUAGAAUAGAGUUUUUUUUUUCUUUCUUUUUUUUUUAAUCUUUAGUAUUGAAAUGGGGAAAAAAUAUUUCUUUGUAUAAAUUGUACUCCCUCCGUCCCAAUUUAAAUGUCGUUUUGGGUUGUUUUGCACAUAUUAAGAAAAUCAAUAAAUGUGCAUAGAUUAUAGUAAAAAACAGAUAAAAUUACAAAAAUAUCCUCGACAUUAAUUGACUCUCAACUAAUUAAUUAGGAGUGAUUGAGGGUAAAAUUGAAAAUAAUGCAAUUAAUGCUUCAUUGAAAAUGUAAAAUGAGUAAAUGACAAAUAAUUUGGGACAAAAAAAACUCUCUAAAAAGACAUAAUAUGGGACAGAGGAAGUAUUUUGUUUGAUAAGGGGUAUUUUAGUACUUUACUACUAAAAACAAUGAUUUUUCUUAUUAAUCUAAGAAAAACUUGUAAAAACUUCUAUAAAAUAUGGUAUUUUAGUAUGGAAUUGAGAAAAAAAUGGUAUUAUUUUUAAGUGCCCUCUAAUUUCUAUUAUAUAAGUUAACUAAAAUUAAAUUUACGAACGCCUAAAGUAUGGGAAAAUUUCCAAAACACCACUCAAGAAUCCAUAAUUAUUCAAACCCCCAAAGUUUGUUACAAUCUAACAAUGUCCCCCUUGUACUAUUUGUUUCCGAACUCCGACCCCAUAUAUAUUUGCUCUGUCGAGCUGCUCAAUGAAAUUCCUACGGUUUUGUAGUGACAUUUCGAUGACUUCCAAAUGACUUUCGAUGAUAUUUAGUGAUAUAAUUAAUACUAUUAUACAUUUUAUAUUAUAUGUGAAUUAAGAAUGUUAGUGAAUUUUCACUGCUAUUACGAACCAAAAAUAUUUGGGUUUAAUCCCACUUUGCAUCCUUGAAAUCUUUAUUUUGGCACUUUGCACCCUAAAAAAAGUUAAUAGCAAUUUGCAUCCUCGAAACACAAUAAAUCAUUCACGAUGCAUCCUGAAUUGAAUAUUUAAAAUUUAAUGAGGUCAAUUUUAGUUUUUGGCAAAAUGAGUUUUUUAGUCCUGUAAGUUUGCUAGUUGAGAGUUUUAGUCCACCAUGUUUAAAAAACAGAAUUUUAGUCCUGUAAGUUACAAAAGUUGAGAAUUUUGGUCCUAUGACCUGCUAUAACAGGUAAUGUGAUGGUUGGUUGAAUGAAUUGGCAUUUAAAAUAUAAAAAUAAAUAGAUUAAAAAUAAAUUAGGUGAUGUAGCUAAUGAGUUGGAAGGUUUUGGAGAAAAAAUUAAUCCUCAAUGUCAAAUUCACCAAAAUAAUGAGGAAAUUAUAACAUAUUAAAUAUUAAUUAUAUAUUUAAUUCUUUUUGUUAUAUUUGCAAUAAAGAAGCACAAUUAACCCAUUGAAUAAAAUCUACAACUAUAUUUUUAUGAAGAAAAUUAGACUAACUAAUGUUUAAUUAAUAUUUCUUAGUUUUUAUUUGUUAAAAAUAAUAAUUAAAUUCAUAUUUAUCUAAAUAUUUCAUUUUUUUACAAAUCUAUACUUAGUUAUACAAUGAAAUUAAACCAACAAUCAAAUUCAACAUAAAACCGGAAAAAAAAAACAUUUUAUUAAACGUUGUUGUAAAGUUAAAUGACAUGCACAAUCAUAAUUAGUAUAAGAAAUCAAAUCACAUUUACGAAUUAACCAAAAAAAUAAUAAAAUAUAUUCAAAACUCUAUUAAAUUAAAUGUACCAAAAAGGUAUUCUAGAGCCUCCAAACAUAAAAUACAUUAUCAAACCAAGAGUAACAAAUAUCCAUAACGAGUAAUAAAAUAUAGUUAAUUACUAUUUUUAUCAAUUGAAAAUUAUAUGAAAUAUUAAUUAAAAAAUAGUUACUACAAAAAUGCUUAAUUCAUUCAUCAAAUAAAAAUAAUUUGAUGGUAUAUUUUAUUUUCUUCCAAAAUUGUCCAACUCAUUAGCCACGUCACCUAAUUUAUUUUUAAUCUAUUUGUUUUUAUAUUUUAAAUGCCAACUCAUUCAACCAACCAUCACAUUACCUGUUAUAGCAUGUCACAGGACCAAAAUUCUCAACUUUUGUAACUUACAGGACUAAAAUUCUGAUUUUGAAACAUGGUGGACUAAAACUCUCAACUUGCAAACUUACAAGACUAAAAAACUCAUUUUGCCUUAGUUUUUCUUAGAUUUUUUUUCAUGGUGCAAAUAACAAAUUAAAUUGUUAUUUUCUAUUCUCCAACCUAAUUUCGAACAUAAGUACAAAAAAAGAAAAUCGCACUAACUUACUUAAAAACUAUAUUUUCCAUGUCUUUUCUUUUGUAAAAUAUUUUUUUGUGAUAAAAAAUAUAAUUUUUAAAUAUGUUGAUGAGAUGUAUUUUUAUUUUUGCAUUUUGUAGUUAUGAAAUGAUUGAUGAAUAUGCAAUUUUUGAUUUGAAAUUUGCUAUCCUAAAAAAACACCACUAAAAAUAUAAAUUACCUUCAUUAGCUUAAAAAAUUCAUUCAGGUUGCAUUGUGCAUGAUUUAUUGUGUUCACGGUGCAAAGUGCUAUUAAUAUUUUUUGAGGGUGCAAAAGUGCAAAAAACUAUAUAUCAAGGGUGUAAAAUGGGAUUAAGUAAAAAAUCUGAUUAUGGAAUAAAGUUUUGCAUUCCUAUUUUUAAAAUUUUGAUUUUCGAUUUUCUCUUAAACUGUUUGGAACGGAAUUAGAACUAGUUAUUUACUUCUAAAAAGAUUGACAUUUUUUCAAAAGUGCUAAUUACGCCCAAACUUUUAACCUACUAACUUGAGAAGAGCUACUAAGGUAACCCAUAGAAACAAAAUAAAUAAAUAAUGGAGGGAGUUAUAGCGAAAUCAAAAUAUUUAUACUACAUUAUUGCAUGGGUCAGUAAAAUAAUUGGCCCUACUCGAUGGGUCAGUUAAUUAUCAAUUAUCGGCCUUAAAGAUAACUUCGAAACGGAACUGAUAAAACUGACCCAUGUCCAACCUAGUGUUUAAUGGUAGUUUGUUAAAAAAAAAAUUAUAGAGCUUUUUUUGUAAUAAAAAUAUCACUUGGUGGUAUUUUUAACUACUAGAGUAAAUAUAGGGGUGCCAAUUACAAUAAUGAAUAAACUCAAUAAAUAAUGGCAUUAUUUAUUUGUUUACAAGUCUUGAUGUUGAAAAGUCCAUUUGAGAUGUUUUAGUAUAAGAGUUAAGAGAUGUUCCUAAAUAUUCAAGCCUCCUGACACUAGUAGAAAAAUGGGUUUUUACUACGAUCAUUAACCGUAGUAAAAAUGUAUCAAAUUCGUACUAAAAAGGUAUUUGCUACGCAUUUGCCCUGUAGCAUAUACAGGCGUGACAAAAGCUUUGCUACGGUAAAUGGCCGUAUCAAAUACUCUUUUGCUACGGUAAAUCCUAAUAUUUACGACGACUUCCAAAUUGUUUCGUAGUAAAAAGUACCUUUUAUUACGGUUUUUUACCGUAGCAAAAAAAUUCGUAGUAAUUAGCAAAUUUUCUACUAGUGUGAUUAGGAUUUAGAUAUAAGAUUAUACCCAUUUCAAUUAAUUAACCCCCACCCUACCAAAUGCAUGUUGUGUAUGGAUUUUCAUCAAUUAAAUUUAUUAUCACUUUCACUGAUUCUGCAGACAUAUAUAGUAUCCAAGAAAGAAAUGAAUUUACUCUUUAUACUCCGAUUCAUUUCAUCAAUGUAUCUCACCACAAAUCUGGCGCUAGCAGUAACUUUGUCCAAAGACGGUUGUCCGUCAACGUGUGGAAACGUCACAAUUCCGUAUCCUUUCGGCAUUGGUCCUUCAUGCAGUGCCGAUUCCAGGUUCACUAUUCUUUGCCGAAAUUCUACCAAUCUUCCUCAUAGACUAGUACCGUUCUUGGUCAACAUAAGUAUGGAAGCACUGAAUAUUUCCCUGUACGGUACGGUCACGGUGAACAAUCCCGUUACACCGAUGAAUUGCUCUAAUGUUCAAGAGAAACAUGAUUUGGUAAAAUCACUCAAGAAAAGUCCAUUUACCAUCUCAGGGUAUUACAAUUCAUUGGCCGUUUUGGGUUGUCAAAACUCGGUCUGGAUCCGUGAUAACACCACGGGUACAGUCGGAGGAUGCAUGGCCACUUGUGAUGCUAAUUCUAAUGACACCAGAUGUAAUGGUGUUAACUGUUGUCAGACAACAAUUCCCCCCCAACUUCAGGAGCUUAAAUAUAUUUCUCAAGCCACUAAUGGAGGAGGAGUUGGUAGUACGAGUAACGGAUCAUGUGGGUAUGCUUUCCUUGUUGAAAGUACAUGGUUUCGAUAUGAAUAUAAUAGGUAUAGGGGACUUCACAAUGAUCUGUUAAAUCCAUAUGACAAACACUUUGAAUUUGCCCCUCUGGUACUUGAGUGGCAAUUCCAAACGGAAUUUGGUGCAAAUAGUCGUCAUUGUGCCUCGAUCAAUGAGAUUUAUGGCUAUCGAUACAAUAUCCCCGACGGUGUCUUGUCUUACCUCGGAUAUUGCAUUUGCAAAGAUGGGUAUGAAGGGAACCCAUAUCUACUUGGAGGAUGCAUUGACAUAAAUGAAUGUAUCGAUCCAAGAUCGAAUCCUUGCGGUCAGCAUGGUGUUUCUUGUGUAAACUUAGAAGGGAGCUACGCAUGUCGCUAUGGCAAUUAUUAUGGAUAUGGCAACAAUAGAUCUCGAGUCAAAAUAACAUUUAUCAGUGUUGGCAGCGCACUCGGUGCACUAGUUUUACUCUUCGUUGCAUGGAAAUCUACCAAAGUCAUCAGAAAAAGAAUCAAGGCUAGCCGUAAACUCAAGUUCUUCAAGCGAAACGGAGGUUUGCUAUUACAACAAGAGUUGUCUUCAAGCGACAAAGGCCUAGAAAAAACCAAGUUAUUCAGUUCCAAGGAGUUGGCACAAGCUACAGAUCGUUACAACGAAAACCGUGUACUUGGCCGUGGUGGCCAAGGUACAGUCUACAAAGGGAUGUUGACAGAUGGAAGAAUCGUGGCAGUCAAAAAGUCAAUGAAAGUAGAAGAAGGCGAUGUCGAACUUUUCAUCAACGAGGUUGUUAUUCUGUCGCAGAUAAACCACAGAAAUGUGGUCAAACUACUGGGGUGCUGUUUGGAGACCGAAGUUCCUCUUUUAGUCUACGAGUUCAUUCCCAACGGCACACUCUUCCAACACGUCCACGAUCCAAACGAGGAGUUCCCUUUAUCUUGGGAAAUGCGAGUCCGUAUUGCAGGAGAGGUAGCCGGGGCGCUUUCUUACUUGCACUUUUCUGCAUCUGCACCUAUUUAUCAUAGAGAUAUCAAGUCGACGAAUAUAUUAUUGGAUGAUAAGUACCGGGCCAAAGUUGCUGAUUUUGGGACAUCAAGAUCCAUUGGCAUCGACCAGACACACUUGACCACACGAGUACUAGGAACAUUUGGUUAUUUGGAUCCAGAGUACUUCCAAUCGAGCCAGUUUACGGAUAAGAGCGAUGUGUAUAGCUUCGGUGUUGUUGUGGUGGAACUUUUGACGGGGGAGAAAGCUAUAUCGUCGAUUAGAGCCGAUGUGGGAAGGAGUUUGGCAACACAUUUCUUGCACUCAAUGGAGGAGAAUCUUUUAUUCGAAAUUCUCGAUGCGAGGGUUUUGAAAGAGGGGAAGAGAGAAGAAAUUGUGGCGAUUGCCGAACUUGC